Molecule: ribosomal RNA, 252 nt
Filed under: uncultured bacterium
Lineage: Bacteria
Description: partial 16S ribosomal RNA
Rfam family: Bacterial small subunit ribosomal RNA
Source: RNAcentral
UACGUAAGGACCGAGCGUUGUCCGGAAUCAUUGGGAGUAUAGGGUACGUAGGCGGGUUUUUAAGUUAGAAGUCAAAGGCUAUAGCUCAACUAUAGUAAGCUUCUAAAACUGGAAUACUUGAGUAAUGGAAGGGAAAGUGGAAUUCCUAGUGUAGCGGUGAAAUGCGCAGAUAUUAGGAGGAAUACCGGUGGCGAAGGAGACUUUCUGGCCAUAAACUGACGCUGAGGUACGUAAGCGUGGGUAGCAAACAGG